ACUCCUACGGGAGGCAGCAGUGAGGAAUAUUGGACAAUGGGUGAGAGCCUGAUCCAGCCAUCCCGCGUGAAGGACGACGGCCCUAUGGGUUGUAAACUUCUUUUGUACAGGGAUAAACCUUUCCACGUGUGGGAAGCUGAAGGUACUGUACGAAUAAGCACCGGCUAACUCCGUGCCAGCAGCCGCGGUAAUACGGAGGGGUGCAAGCGUUAUCCGGAUUUAUUGGGGUUUAAAGGGUCCGUAGGCGGAUCUGUAAGUCAGUGGUGAAAUCUCACAGCUUAACUGUGAAACUGCCAUUGAUACUGCAGGUCUUGAGUAAAUUUGAAGUGGCUGGAAUAAGUAGUGUAGCGGUGAAAUGCAUAGAUAUUACUUAGAACACCAAUUGCGAAGGCAGGUCACUAAGAUUUAACUGACGCUGAGGGACGAAAGCGUGGGGAGCGAACAGGAUUAGAUACCCUGGUAGCACAGAG
Molecule: ribosomal RNA, 470 nt
Filed under: uncultured bacterium
Lineage: Bacteria
Description: bacterial SSU rRNA
Rfam family: Bacterial small subunit ribosomal RNA
Source: RNAcentral